RNAcentral lists this ribosomal RNA (253 nucleotides) under uncultured bacterium. Its description in RNAcentral is "partial 16S ribosomal RNA". It matches the Rfam family "Bacterial small subunit ribosomal RNA", at positions 524 to 776 of the family's 1533-position model. The record is from RNAcentral.
UACAGAGGUCUCAAGCGUUGUUCGGAUUCACUGGGCGUAAAGCGUGCGUAGGCGGUUCGCUAAGUCGGUUGUGAAAUCCCUGGGCUUAACCUGGGAACUGCAGUCGAUACUGGCGGACUAGAGUACGGUAGAGGGUGGCGGAACUCCGGGUGUAGCGGUGAAAUGCGUAGAUAUCCGGAAGAACACCGAUGGCGAAGGCAACCACCUGGGCCUGUACUGACGCUGAGGUACGAAAGCGUGGGGAGCAAACAGG